RNAcentral lists this long non-coding RNA (451 nucleotides) under Vulpes vulpes (red fox). RNAcentral describes it as "lncRNA (ENSVVUG00000010934.1)". The record is from RNAcentral. Lineage: Eukaryota; Metazoa; Chordata; Mammalia; Carnivora; Canidae.
UUUUGGAGCACUCUCCGUCAACAACGAAUGCAUCACUGAGGAUCUUUUGCCUGCUGUGUUCCCUCACAAGUGAGCAGGGGGCCAUGCACGUUCUUCUUCCGGUGUGGAGCAUCAUGCCUGGAGACAGUCCUGAUAUCAGACAUCACAGAAUUGUUCAACCCACUGCAGUAAGAAUUUCCUGAGUGCCUACCCUGAACAGAGAUGGAGAGCAGAUUACAGAAACAAGGAAGACUUCAUCUUUGCCCUGAAAGGGGCCUGCAAGAUCUUUGAGUGCCAGAGUAUUCUAUUCCUUUGGCUUCUUUCCAGUCUUUGGAGCAAGAACUCCGUCAACAUUGGCAAUUUCCUGCAUGCCUCCGAGCUACCUCUGGGAGGCAAAGAUUCCAGAGCCAGAGAAGAAGACCUGCGAACAUAAGAUGUAUCUAGAAACCCCUCCGUGUGAGUCACAUUAGGC